RNAcentral lists this ribosomal RNA (1322 nucleotides) under Escherichia coli. RNAcentral's name for it is "partial 23S ribosomal RNA". It matches the Rfam family "Bacterial large subunit ribosomal RNA", at positions 911 to 2215 of the family's 2925-position model. Lineage: Bacteria; Pseudomonadati; Pseudomonadota; Gammaproteobacteria; Enterobacterales; Enterobacteriaceae. The record is from RNAcentral.
UGUUUCGGCAAGGGGGUCAUCCCGACUUACCAACCCGAUGCAAACUGCGAAUACCGGAGAAUGUUAUCACGGGAGACACACGGCGGGUGCUAACGUCCGUCGUGAAGAGGGAAACAACCCAGACCGCCAGCUAAGGUCCCAAAGUCAUGGUUAAGUGGGAAACGAUGUGGGAAGGCCCAGACAGCCAGGAUGUUGGCUUAGAAGCAGCCAUCAUUUAAAGAAAGCGUAAUAGCUCACUGGUCGAGUCGGCCUGCGCGGAAGAUGUAACGGGGCUAAACCAUGCACCGAAGCUGCGGCAGCGACGCUGAUGCGUUGUUGGGUAGGGGAGCGUUCUGUAAGCCUGCGAAGGUGUGCUGUGAGGCAUGCUGGAGGUAUCAGAAGUGCGAAUGCUGACAUAAGUAACGAUAAAGCGGGUGAAAAGCCCGCUCGCCGGAAGACCAAGGGUUCCUGUCCAACGUUAAUCGGGGCAGGGUGAGUCGACCCCUAAGGCGAGGCCGAAAGGCGUAGUCGAUGGGAAACAGGUUAAUAUUCCUGUACUUGGUGUUACUGCGAAGGGGGGACGGAGAAGGCUAUGUUGGCCGGGCGACGGUUGUCCCGGUUUAAGCGUGUAGGCUGGUUUUCCAGGCAAAUCCGGAAAAUCAAGGCUGAGGCGUGAUGACGAGGCACUACGGUGCUGAAGCAACAAAUGCCCUGCUUCCAGGAAAAGCCUCUAAGCAUCAGGUAACAUCAAAUCGUACCCCAAACCGACACAGGUGGUCAGGUAGAGAAUACCAAGGCGCUUGAGAGAACUCGGGUGAAGGAACUAGGCAAAAUGGUGCCGUAACUUCGGGAGAAGGCACGCUGAUAUGUAGGUGAGGUCCCUCGCGGAUGGAGCUGAAAUCAGUCGAAGAUACCAGCUGGCUGCAACUGUUUAUUAAAAACACAGCACUGUGCAAACACGAAAGUGGACGUAUACGGUGUGACGCCUGCCCGGUGCCGGAAGGUUAAUUGAUGGGGUCAGCGCAAGCGAAGCUCUUGAUCGAAGCCCCGGUAAACGGCGGCCGUAACUAUAACGGUCCUAAGGUAGCGAAAUUCCUUGUCGGGUAAGUUCCGACCUGCACGAAUGGCGUAAUGAUGGCCAGGCUGUCUCCACCCGAGACUCAGUGAAAUUGAACUCGCUGUGAAGAUGCAGUGUACCCGCGGCAAGACGGAAAGACCCCGUGAACCUUUACUAUAGCUUGACACUGAACAUUGAGCCUUGAUGUGUAGGAUAGGUGGGAGGCUUUGAAGUGUGGACGCCAGUCUGCAUGGAGCCGACCUUGAAAUACCACCCUUUAAUGUUU